UACGGAGGGUGCAAGCAUUGAUCGGAAUUACUGGGCGUAAAGGGCGCGUAGGCGGCCCAAAAAGUCAGGUGUGAAAUUCCGGGGCUCAACCCCGGAGCUGCAUUUGAAACUUUUGGACUAGAGUUCAGUUAGGGUAAACGGAAUUCCACGUGUAGCGGUGAAAUGCGUAGAUAUGUGGAAGAACACCAGUGGUGAAGACGGUUUACUGGGCUGAUACUGACGCUGAGGCGCGAAAGCAUGGGGAGCAAACAGG
Molecule: ribosomal RNA, 253 nt
Filed under: uncultured bacterium
Lineage: Bacteria
Description: partial 16S ribosomal RNA
Rfam family: Bacterial small subunit ribosomal RNA
Source: RNAcentral